GAGGGUUAGCAGGUGUUAUUCUUUGCUUUCAGUCAAAAUGAAAGUGGAAAUAGUCCAGCCAGUCACAGAAGAAUUCAGACAGCUCACAUGGUUUGUUUACAGCUUCUUAUACAAAGAGACAUACUCUCCCUCCGCCGUGGAAACAUACCACGCCAAAUACAUUGGAACUAAGAGAGAGUGACUGUGACAGACCCCAAAUAAACCAUCUCAUUUUCACACCUUCUCUGGAGGUUGCGUGCCAUCACAGAAGAGGAAGCAAAGCAGCAGAUGAGAAUGAGGCCUCUGCUCAAAAACAACAUCCUUAUCUUCAGUAUCAUCAUCAGAUUGGCAAACUACCUGCAGUCUCUCCAGCCAAUCAGUGCCCAUCUGCACAGCACGCCGCGCCGGCCAAAUCCAGCCACGGCAGGGCCCCAGCCAGACUAUAGCCAGGGCUCAAAGAUGGCUCAGGCUGUCUGGGGCCCCGAAUAUCUGCUUCCAUAACAGCCCCAUCUGCCUUUGGCUUGGCCUGGUCCACUUUCAUCCCCGCUGGCCCAGCAGAUUAGGGAUCUUCCGCAGACUUUAUGGCCAAUUAAAGCACUUACUGCCACACAGUUGUUAGUCCCUACUUCUCAAUCCAACUUAAUCCAAGAUGCACACUGUCUCAACAUGUUGUUUUACCCCUGGACCUGAUGGAGAUUAAAACAGACAGAUUCAGAUGAAGUGGAGCUAUGAUAAAAUGGGUUCAUUGGAGGC
This is a non-coding RNA of Labrus bergylta (ballan wrasse), 732 nucleotides long. The record is from RefSeq and is a predicted model, not a curated record. NCBI's taxonomy places the organism in Eukaryota, Metazoa, Chordata, Actinopteri, Labriformes, Labridae.